AAUCAACGCUGGCGGCGUGCCUCAGACAUGCAAGUCGAACGCGAAAGGCUCCUUCGGGAGCCCGGUAGAGUGGCGCACGGGUGAGUAACACGUGGGUAAUUUACCUUCGGGUGGGGAAUAACAGCCGGAAACGGCUGCUAAUACCGCAUAAUGCAGCGGCACCACAUGGUGACAGUUGUUAAAGUGGGGGAUCGCAAGACCUCACGCCUGAAGAGAAGCCCGCGGCGGAUUAGCAGUUGGCGGGGUAAUGGCCCCACCAAGGCGUCGAUCCGUAGCCGGCCUGAGAGGGCGGUCGGCCACACUGACACUGAAUAACGGGUCAGACUCCUACGGGAGGCAGCAGUCGGGAAUUUGGGCAAUGGGCGCAAGCCUGACCCAGCAACGCCGCGUGAAGGA
This 396-nucleotide ribosomal RNA is filed under the name uncultured bacterium. RNAcentral's name for it is "bacterial SSU rRNA". It matches the Rfam family "Bacterial small subunit ribosomal RNA", at positions 29 to 408 of the family's 1533-position model. The record is from RNAcentral.